RNAcentral lists this ribosomal RNA (301 nucleotides) under uncultured bacterium. RNAcentral describes it as "partial 16S ribosomal RNA". It matches the Rfam family "Bacterial small subunit ribosomal RNA", at positions 509 to 807 of the family's 1533-position model. The record is from RNAcentral.
CAGCCGCCGCGGUAAUACGGAGGGAGCUAGCGUUGUUCGGAAUUACUGGGCGUAAAGCGCGCGUAGGCGGUUACUCAAGUCAGAGGUGAAAGCCCGGGGCUCAACCCCGGAACUGCCUUUGAAACUAGGUGACUAGAAUCUUGGAGAGGUCAGUGGAAUUCCGAGUGUAGAGGUGAAAUUCGUAGAUAUUCGGAAGAACACCAGUGGCGAAGGCGGCUGACUGGACAAGUAUUGACGCUGAGGUGCGAAAGCGUGGGGAGCAAACAGGAUUAGAUACCCGCGUAGUCCCUGUCUCUUAUAC